GACGAACGCUGGCGGCGUGCUUAACACAUGCAAGUCGAGCGGUAAGGCCCUUUCGGGGGUACACGAGCGGCGAACGGGUGAGUAACACGUGGGUGACCUGCCCUCAGCUCUGGGAUAAGCCUGGGAAACUGGGUCUAAUACUGGAUAUGACUCCACGGUGCAUGUCGGUGGGGUGGAAAGCCUUGUGCGGCUGAGGAGUGGGCCCGCGGCCUAUCAGCUUGUUGGGUGGGGUGANGGCCUACCAAGGCGACGACGGGUAGCCGGCCUGAGAGGGCGACCGGCCACACUGGGACUGAGACACGGCCCAGACUCCUACGGGAGGCAGCAGUGGGGAAUCUUGCGCAAUGGGCGAAAGCCUGACGCAGCGACGCCGCGUGAGGGAU
RNAcentral lists this ribosomal RNA (383 nucleotides) under uncultured bacterium. RNAcentral describes it as "bacterial SSU rRNA". It matches the Rfam family "Bacterial small subunit ribosomal RNA", at positions 28 to 409 of the family's 1533-position model. The record is from RNAcentral.